Molecule: ribosomal RNA, 429 nt
Filed under: Bacteroidota bacterium
Lineage: Bacteria; Pseudomonadati; Bacteroidota
Description: Bacteroidetes bacterium partial 16S ribosomal RNA
Rfam family: Bacterial small subunit ribosomal RNA
Source: RNAcentral
UAGGGAAUCUUCGGCAAUGGGGGGAACCCUGACCGAGCAACGCCGCGUGAGUGAAGAAGGUUUUCGGAUCGUAAAGCUCUGUUGUUAAGGAAGAACGAGUGUGAGAAUGGAAAGUUCAUGCUGUGACGGUACUUAACCAGAAAGGGACGGCUAACUACGUGCCAGCAGCCGCGGUAAUACGUAGGUCCCGAGCGUUGUCCGGAUUUAUUGGGCGUAAAGCGAGCGCAGGCGGUUAGAAAAGUCUGAAGUGAAAGGCAGUGGCUCAACCAUUGUAGGCUUUGGAAACUGUUUAACUUGAGUGCAGAAGAGGAGAGUGGAAUUCCAUGUGUAGCGGUGACAUGCGUAGAUAUAUGGAGGAACACCGGUGGCGAAAGCGGCUCUCUAGUCUGUAACUGACGCAGAGGCUCGAAAGCGUGGGGAGCGAACAGG